This 259-nucleotide ribosomal RNA is filed under the name uncultured bacterium. RNAcentral describes it as "partial 16S ribosomal RNA". It matches the Rfam family "Bacterial small subunit ribosomal RNA", at positions 793 to 1055 of the family's 1533-position model. The record is from RNAcentral.
GUCCACGCCCUAAACGUUGAAUACUCGGUCUUGGCGAUAUACAGUCAGGGCCCAAGCGAAAGCGUUAAGUAUUCCACCUGGGAAGUACGUUCGCAAGAAUGAAACUCAAAGGAAUUGACGGGGGCCCGCACAAGCGGAGGAGCAUGUGGUUUAAUUCGAUGAUACGCGAGAAACCUUACCUGGGCUUGAAUGUGAGUGAUCGGUGCCGAAAGGUACUUUCCCCGCAAGGGCACAAAACAAGGUGCUGCAUGGCUGUCGU